Molecule: small RNA, 147 nt
Filed under: Mariniflexile fucanivorans
Lineage: Bacteria; Pseudomonadati; Bacteroidota; Flavobacteriia; Flavobacteriales; Flavobacteriaceae
Description: Flavo-1 RNA
Source: RNAcentral
AAAUAGGUGCGUUAGGGGUUGAAGCGGCAUCCUUUUGCUUUUCUUUGAUAAGACAUGACUUAUAAAAAAGUUUUUAAGCUUUUAAGAGUGUAUUGAGCCCUUGUAAUUUAAAAAAACCAAAAGAUAUAGCGGAAAACCCGACCCUUG